This 67-nucleotide transfer RNA is filed under the name Pithecopus megacephalus (large-headed leaf frog). RNAcentral's name for it is "tRNA-Ser". The record is from RNAcentral. Lineage: Eukaryota; Metazoa; Chordata; Amphibia; Anura; Hylidae.
GAAUUGUUUUGGAAAAGCGAGAACUGCUAAUUACUCUCUUCUAUGGUUCAACCCCAUAGCCAGUUCA